Molecule: ribosomal RNA, 450 nt
Filed under: uncultured bacterium
Lineage: Bacteria
Description: partial 16S ribosomal RNA
Rfam family: Bacterial small subunit ribosomal RNA
Source: RNAcentral
GUGGGGAAUAUUGGACAAUGGGCGAAAGCCUGAUCCAGCCAUGCCGCGUGUGUGAAGAAGGUCUUCGGAUUGUAAAGCACUUUAAGUUGGGAGGAAGGGCAGUAAGUUAAUACCUUGCUGUUUUGACGUUACCGACAGAAUAAGCACCGGCUAACUUCGUGCCAGCAGCCGCGGUAAUACGAAGGGUGCAAGCGUUAAUCGGAAUUACUGGGCGUAAAGCGCGCGUAGGUGGUUUUGUAAGUUGGAGGUGAAAUCCUCGGGCUCAACCUGGGAACUGCCUCCAAAACUGCAUGACUAGAGUACGGUAGAGGGUAGUGGAAUUUCCUGUGUAGCGGUGAAAUGCGUAGAUAUAGGAAGGAACACCAGUGGCGAAGGCGACUACCUGGACUGAUACUGACACUGAGGUGCGAAAGCGUGGGGAGCAAACAGGAUUAGAUACCCUUGUAGUCC